GGCAAGGUGGCCGAGCGGUCUAAGGCGCACGGUUCAGGUAUACCUGACCAUACAAACUUUCUGUAAAGUUUCCGUGUCAUGAAAAUGGCGUGGGUUCGAAUCCCACCCUUGUCA
Non-coding RNA from Aspergillus alliaceus, 114 nucleotides. The record is from the annotation of a RefSeq genome assembly. Lineage: Eukaryota; Fungi; Ascomycota; Eurotiomycetes; Eurotiales; Aspergillaceae.